CGUUUUAUAAUUUACAUUUAUAUAUUAUAUCUUUAUAUUUUAUAUAUUUAUAAUUUAUAUUUUACAUAAAAUACUUUAAAUUCUGUAUUUUUAAAACACCACAUAAUUUUUUCAUAAUGAUAAAAGAAUGUCUUAAGACUGUGUUGGGAGGGAGUUCCCGUCGUGGCUCAGUGGUUAACGAACCUGACUAGCAUCCAUGGGAACGCACGUUCAAUCCCUGGCCUCAUUCAGUUGGUUAAGGAUCUGGCGUUGCUGUGAGCUGUGGUAUUGGUCGCAGACGUGGCUUGGAUCUGGAGUUGCUGUGGCUUUUUUAACAUCUGAUGACAAGUUACAAGACAAUUUCACAUCCGUUAUCUCAUUUUCUCCUCCCACCAGCUUUGGCACAUGGGUAAUUUGUAUUCUCUUCCAUUUUCAGCAGAGGAAAAAGUAGCUCAAAAGCUAAGGAACAUACUUUAGGUGACAGCCAGAAAAUUAUGGGACUGGAAUUCAGCCCCAAACUUGUAACAGUUAUAGGAGAGGUGGAGAUUUGUAACAAUCUAAAAGGUCUUGAAUCUAGAAAGCUGGAGGUACAAAAUUGAUAGCCAUCAGAAUAGAAGUAAUAUUUGAAGUUCUAGGUCAAUCAAAACUUGGAACCCUGGAAAAAUGACACGAUGGGAUUCCCAUAAACAAACCAAGAUGGCAUGGCUUUGUGAUGGCAGAGAAAAGCAAGAUAAGGAAGCUCAUGCUGUUGGCAGUCUGAAGUCACAAUCUGGAGAAUGGAAAUCUUUGUCUAUUGUGUGAAAAUACAGAGUAUGGAGGAAGAGGAAAAAGAAAAAGAGAGAAGGGGGAGGAGGAAACAUAAUAGUUCUAUCCAACACAAUCCAGAUCAAACCUAAAAUCCAGGCCCCUAUUUAUUAUGAGAAACACAGAUGUGACCAAAAAUAAUAAAAUGUGACUAUUCACAGCCUCUUUCCCUCCUUAGCCCUCUCUCCCAAAGGAUUAUUUCUUGCUCAAUUAUCCAGUCAGUCCCUAGACAUUUUUAUGAAUAGUGAGGCAAUCAACAAGAGGAAGAGGAUACCAGGAUUUAGAACAGAAAGGGAAAUAAGUAAAGACAAGAGAAACAGAUGUAUGUGGACAUGAAGAGAGAAUGUGUAGGCUAGGGUAAGAAUGUUCAGAGCUUGCAGUGGGAAAGAAAUGAGGCUUUGGUAUAGUUGUGUUGUACAGGAGGAUGGUCGAGAGAAGAGAACUGGGCACACCCUCAGAUGGGUCAUCAGGCGGGGGGGGGGAAGGGGGGGAAAGCAGUCACACAAGCAAGAGAGAGCAAGUCAUGAAUCUGGGCAGAUAACCAGAGAGGCAGAAAGGGCCACAAAAAGGGUCACACCUCCUGAGAAAGAGCCCAAGGCCAGGGUGACUCUGAGGCAAAGUCUAUGCAUCCAUGAUUUGCUUAUCAAGACAGGAACCAGUUCCUCAGCAUGCAAAGGUCCUGACCAGUAGAUGCCAGAGACAAAGGGGCCAUGUUCCACUGAAGAAAGGAGAGAAAGCAGAGACUGAAGAAAACCUUCAGAUGCAAUAAGGGAGAACUAUGUCCUGGCUAAGAGCCCAGUUCUGCCACUUGCUCACUGGUGAACUUGGGAAAUCCCUCCCCUCUCUAAGCUGCCACACAUCCUCUGGAUAAUGAGAGGAUGUGGCUGGGUGAUGUCUGGGGGCUCUUCUGGCUCCGACCCUCAGCCUCAGUACCCCACUUGGCUACAGGCACGUGCGCUGUCUCCUUCCGCCAGAACAGCUGCAACAGACAGAAAAGUCCUGUUUGACAGCUGUGGCUGUUGCCACGAGGAAUCCCCCUGCCGACCCCAACCUAGCCUGCAGCUUUCUCAUCACCAGGCCCUUCACUACUGCCGCCCACCUGCCUCUAGGACAGAACCACCAGCCACACACACUUCCUCAUACACCAGGCUCCAACGUUGUCUUCCUCAGCAUGUCCCUCGUCCUGGGCCUCUGGCCGUGCUCAGGCCUUUGUCCACCCAAAACAGGAAUGUCACCCACCAAACAUUGCUUUAUGCUUCCGAGUAUGUUCUAUGACUGGAAGGAGCUGGUCCCCCACCAUCACCCCUUUUCAAUACUAUCUUCUCUGGUUCCUUAGUCUCCUAAAACUCUCAAGCUGGAUAAUUAAUUUUUUUUUUUUUUUAUGGCUGCACCUACAGCAUAGGGAAGUUCCCAGGAAUCAGAACCACAGCUGCUGGCCUACCUCACAGCCACAGCAACAUGGGAUCCAAACAGUAUCUGUGACCUACACCAAAGUUUGCAGCAACACCGGAUCCUUAACCCAUUGAGCGAGGCCAAGGAUUGAACCCACGUUCUCAUGCAUACUAGGUUCUUUUUUUUUUUUUUUUCUAUUUCUUGGGCC
RNAcentral lists this long non-coding RNA (2383 nucleotides) under Sus scrofa (pig). RNAcentral's name for it is "lncRNA (ENSSSCG00050042155.1)". The record is from RNAcentral. Lineage: Eukaryota; Metazoa; Chordata; Mammalia; Artiodactyla; Suidae.